Molecule: ribosomal RNA, 292 nt
Filed under: Nematoda environmental sample
Lineage: Eukaryota; Metazoa; Nematoda
Description: partial 18S rRNA
Rfam family: Eukaryotic small subunit ribosomal RNA
Source: RNAcentral
CUAGUUCUAACCGUAAACGAUGACAACCAGCGAUUAAUCGGCGUUAAUUUAUGACCCGAUUAGCAGCUUCCGGGAAACCAAAGUUUUUCGUUUCCGGGGGAAGUAUGGUUGCAAAGCUGAAACUUAAAGGAAUUGACGGAAGGGCACCACCAGGAGUGGAGCCUGCGGCUUAAUUUGACUCAACACGGGAAAACUCACCCGGCCCGGACACCGUAAGGAUUGACAGACUGAGAGCUCUUUCUUAAUUCGGUGGGUGGUGGUGCAUGGCCGUUCUUAGUUGGUGGAGCGAUUU